UGGGGAAUAUUGGGCAAUGGGGGCAACCCUGACCCAGCGACGCCGUGUGAGGGAUGAAGGCUUUCGGGUCGUAAACCUCUGUCAGGAGGGAAGAAACGCAUGGGGAUAAACAAGCCCUGUGCCUGACGGUACCUCCAAAGGAAGCACCGGCUAACUCCGUGCCAGCAGCCGCGGUAAUACGGAGGGUGCAAGCGUUAUUCGGAAUUACUGGGCGUAAAGCGUGCGUAGGCGGCUUGGUAAGUCAGGUGUGAAAGCCCUCGGCUCAACCGAGGAACUGCAUUUGAUACUGCCAGGCUAGAGUGUGGGAGAGGGCAGCGGAAUUCCCGGUGUAGGAGUGAUAUCCGUAGAUAUCGGGAGGAACACCAGUGGCGAAGGCGGCUGCCUGGACCACAACUGACGCUGAGGCACGAAAGCGUGGGUAGCAAACAGG
Molecule: ribosomal RNA, 430 nt
Filed under: uncultured Desulfovibrionales bacterium
Lineage: Bacteria; Pseudomonadati; Thermodesulfobacteriota; Desulfovibrionia; Desulfovibrionales
Description: bacterial SSU rRNA
Rfam family: Bacterial small subunit ribosomal RNA
Source: RNAcentral